AUUUGAACCAUGUUUCUUUUCUCCUAAUUUUGGCAGCAUCCCUGUGUUCAUUUGUAUGUAUUAAGUAGAGAUGCUUGUCUUGCAUGUGUGU
Molecule: long non-coding RNA, 91 nt
Organism: Phyllostomus discolor (pale spear-nosed bat)
Lineage: Eukaryota; Metazoa; Chordata; Mammalia; Chiroptera; Phyllostomidae
Exons: 3
Source: RefSeq, a predicted model, not a curated record